Long non-coding RNA from Cyprinus carpio carpio, 585 nucleotides. The record is from Ensembl. Lineage: Eukaryota; Metazoa; Chordata; Actinopteri; Cypriniformes; Cyprinidae.
UUAUGAUAUAAUAUAUAUAACUCUUUGGUUUGAUACAACUUCACACUCUUGAAAAUGUAAAUUCAAAGUUUCACUCUUAAAAUAACCAACAAUGUUUUACACUCUUUCAGAAAACUCAACAGAAAGUAAACAACAAAAAUGCACAGGUAAAUAACCAGAUGAAAAGGUAUCAGUCCAAAGCAAAUACUUAGUCCUUUGAAAUAAAUGUCCAACGUGGAAACAAAAAUACUCAGAUCCUUGAGUGAAAAGAGUUUCGAUGCUUAGCAAAAAAUGUGUCCAAAAAGUAAAAAACAGGUUUACACAAUAUUUCCUACCAGUUCCUUUGAAAUAAAUGUCCAACGUGGAAACAAAAAUACUCAGAUCCUUGAGUGAAAAGAGUUUCGAUGCUUAGCAAAAAAUGUGUCCAAAAAGUAAAAAACAGGUUUACACAAUAUUUCCUACCAGUGUGAUGAACAACUUCCAGAUUCUAUGAAAUGGGAUGGCUCGCCAGUUUCUGCAACCGUGUGUCUCUCUCUCUCUCUCGAUGGACAGCAGAAACAAUUCUCCCAAACGUCAACAAAACUCCAGAUCCAGAAUCAGCAUUGC